RNAcentral lists this ribosomal RNA (253 nucleotides) under uncultured bacterium. RNAcentral describes it as "partial 16S ribosomal RNA". It matches the Rfam family "Bacterial small subunit ribosomal RNA", at positions 524 to 776 of the family's 1533-position model. The record is from RNAcentral.
UACGGGGGGGGCAAGCGUUGUUCGGAAUUACUGGGCGUAAAGGGCCAGUAGGCGGCCAACUAAGUCCGACGUGAAAUCCCAAGGCUUAACCUUGGAACUGCGUCGGAUACUGGAUGGCUUGAGUUCGGGAGAGGGAUGCGGAAUUCCAGGUGUAGCGGUGAAAUGCGUAGAUAUCUGGAGGAACACCGGUGGCGAAGGCGGCAUCCUGGACCGACACUGACACUGAGGAGCAAAAGCCAGGGGAGCAAACGGG